AUUCAAACGUUCGUACUAAAGUGGGAUAACUUUUUAUCUCUGCUCUCUUCAGACAUCUGAAUCAUGCUGGAUCUGCUCUCUUCUCUCCAAUACUACAAAUGCUUUAAUAACUUUAAAACAUAAAAUAGAAAAUGAUGUGCGACAAACCAUGACAUGAUGGACAAUUGUUCGAGAUCCAUGAAAUGCUAUCUUUGUUGGGCUGUUUCCGUUCAGAAUAAACUUUGUGGAGAAGUAAGCCCUCGGCCCUAGAUUUGGUUCGAUACCUAUAGAAAAAGACGAGUGCAUAGCCUUAAAAAAUGUAACUGAAUGGUGAAAGAACGAGGACCGGUGCGAGGGUGGAGGGGAAUGGUAUGACGCAUAUCGGUAUUUUCAACGAUUUCCUAACGGUUACCAAAAGCAGAUUGAAUUGUCUUCGGAUUGAGGAUUGCGCAUUAUAGGAAGCAAAACAAAGGGUGCUCCCUCGAGAUGGCAUUAGCAUUGGACAAUUUCAUUUCGAAUUUGAGGCAGAACUGGAACUUUUCACAACAAACGGAAGGGCUUACAACUCGAUUUUGCAUCGUUCCAUUUUACAUUUUUUGUUCCAAGCCAGCUUAACUUAAAAGCGGAAGGAGCAACUUCAUCGUCGGUGCAUCCGAUUGAAUACGAAUUAUUAUCCACGAAAUGGAUUCUUUACUAUCUGGUGGGCACUUGAGUUGAUUAUCGAGUUGUGGUUUUAGCUGAGCUUCCAUUAAGCGGAUGUUGACAAGGCGGAAAUAUAGUCGCCGAAGUUAAAGAAUUCCUCAUGUGAAGCUUUUGAUGGUACGUAACAAUGUAACAAAUGAUGGGAUAUGCGCAGAAUUGUGAAAUGUGUGACCAAAAUACGUGCGAACGAAAAGUAAGCCGUCGUAACAGUUUACAAUUGGAAUCAAUAAAAGCAAAAUCGCAACAUA
Long non-coding RNA from Anopheles bellator, 929 nucleotides. RefSeq lists it as uncharacterized. NCBI's taxonomy places the organism in Eukaryota, Metazoa, Arthropoda, Insecta, Diptera, Culicidae. The record is from RefSeq and is a predicted model, not a curated record. The transcript is spliced from 11 exons.